Long non-coding RNA from Sapajus apella (tufted capuchin), 1501 nucleotides. RefSeq lists it as uncharacterized. The record is from RefSeq and is a predicted model, not a curated record. The transcript is spliced from 3 exons. NCBI's taxonomy places the organism in Eukaryota, Metazoa, Chordata, Mammalia, Primates, Cebidae.
CCUGCCUCGGCCUCCCAAAGUGCUGGGAAUACAGGCGUGAGCCACUGCGCCCAGCCUGGCAACACAGUAUUUAUCAGCAGAAGGAAAUACACCAGGUAGACACUUGGACCUCACCCUUUCUCAGGCAGAGUGCUAAGGAACAGGUACUCCUGUUACACUGUAAUAGUCCCUUGCUUACACAGUCCUGUAAACAUUUAAAGUCCCUCGCAUGAAGUCUGCCCCAGGCAGUGAAGGAAUUGAAAAUUCCAUUUUUUGUAUUGUGUGUAUCAUCUUGGAGGUUUAUUCAUGGAGCUAGCAACUCUACUUCAGUAUUCUGAUAUCAAAGACCUAGUGUGUCACAUCAAACACCUUUUCAAAUUCUGCGUUUUGGUCUUGGGAAAGCUGUCAGCAACUUGGGAGCCAGCUUAUCUCCCUCGAGACUUUUCUGGUGAUCUAGCUUUGGCAGUCACAAAAGCAAAUUAUAGGGCCUUCAUCUUACAGGCAUUGAUCUUAGGAUGGUUUCAAGAAUUGAAGAGGAUUUUAAAUAGGACAAUUCUAUAUAGUAAUUUAUGUUGUGAAAAUGUACAUAUUGUAGUAUUGAUGAAAACGUUGUAUUUAUUAGAUCCAAUAACAUUUUCAUAUCUCUUCUAGUUAUUCUCUAUUAAAAUAGAUCAAGUUCAUUUUGUUAUGUUAUAUUCAUUUGGGGCUUCUUGUUAGUGCAUUUGGAUGUGAUUGUGGAGAACGUGCAGAUUCUGUGUUGAUAUUCACUAUUUUAAUCCAAGUAGCUGUAAUGGCUCUGUUAAGCAGCAACAUUACAAACACUACUGCUGAGAAAGUGGCAGGCUCCAACCUGUGUCUCUGAGUAUGUGGGGAAAAAAACGUUAAUCCAAGCAAUUAAUUAAAGACCAGUGGCUUUAGUAAGAAUCACUUCUUCCAGCCUUUCUUCUUAAAAUCUGUGAAUACUUCUUGCAAUGAAACUUUUUUUUUCAACUCCAAAACAUCACAUACAAUACAAAUUCAUUUUGAGGCAUUCAUAUAAAUAGACUGGAAAGUACAUGCAUCAGAACAUUUCACUGUUUGGAAGAUUGGUGUUUCCUUUUGUGUUUCUCUCUAUUCUCCAAAUUUUCUGUAACGAGCUUGUGAUUUUUCUGAAAUUAGAAAUUCUAAAAACCUACAAUAAAUGUUACUUUCUUCCUGAAAGAACGUCUACAUAACUAUGAGGACAUUGCGCAUAGUUCUAGUGUAGAAAUGUGCAAAAAUAAUUUGCAGUCUGCAGUGAGGUUGCAAUGUAUAUCAGCUGAAACGGUGACCCUGUAAGUCUUCCAGGGAAGUUUAAGUGGUCCCCUCUCCCUAAGCAGACCAAAUUUCUUAUUCCUGUUCAGGGAUCCCAUCUCCUAAGCUGCUUCUAAGAUAUCUGCACACCAGGAACCUAAAGUCUUCACUUUGGGAAUUACUGUUAUCUGCAUGAGGCAGUGCAAAUGUUAAACCCCCUUUCUCUCUCUCUCUUUCUCAUGUCCCCACA